This is a non-coding RNA of Myodes glareolus (Bank vole), 749 nucleotides long. The record is from RefSeq and is a predicted model, not a curated record. Lineage: Eukaryota; Metazoa; Chordata; Mammalia; Rodentia; Cricetidae.
CAAGGCUUGAGAGUUCUUUCUGCGCAUGACUUCUGAGGCUUGGCUGGGGAGGGGAGAAGAUGGAGAGAAGUCCAGUUCAAACAUCAGGUCCACAUCGUGGUCCCCUUGCCCAUCACCACCAUUUCCUAAUAACAAAAACAUUAGACACCAGUUCACACUUCCUUGUAGCUUAAGACACUUCCCAUUUUGUGUAAAAAAACAGCCAGAAGUGGGAGAAAUCACCACUAGCGUCCUGGAGAUCCUAGGUGGAAGAAGCUAGCACCAAACAACCCUGAAAACCAGCACUCCCUGGCACUGGUCUCUUAAGAAACACAGGAGCACCUCCAUGGAAGGUGGUUUUCAUUUGGGUUGCACUUUUCUCGGGAAGAAAUCAUUAUCUAUUGAUCCAUCCAUUUUCAUUGGAUAAUCAAAAAGAGAGUUUGAAAUUAGUAAUAGACCUUGGAAAUGUCAGCUUCAGGAAAAGCCUACGAUGAUAGCAACUCAGAGGCCAGUCUGGUCUACAGAGCCACACAGAAAAGCCCUGUCUUGAAAGAAAAUAAAAUAAAAAGAAAGAAGGAAAAAGAAAAAAAAAAGCAACUGCAGUUACCCCAUCUCAAGAACGUCUUAGAACUGAAGAUCGCUUUUAAGUACUUGACUCCAAGUGCCGACAGGAUGUCCGUGUGUAGGAGUUGGAGCUCAUAGUUGGCCGGUAUGGGUUGAAUGGCACAGAUUAUAAUGCAUUUAUACAAACCAAUCAAUUGCCCAAGAAU